Molecule: long non-coding RNA, 645 nt
Organism: Octopus bimaculoides (California two-spot octopus)
Lineage: Eukaryota; Metazoa; Mollusca; Cephalopoda; Octopoda; Octopodidae
Source: RefSeq, a predicted model, not a curated record
AACUAUUUAAGUUCAGUCAGUCUUCAUUUAUAAUAUUUCACUGAUGAUAUAUUUCCAUAUCUGAAAUAUAGACCCAUUCUUUAUUUUAAUCUCCAUCACCCGCCUUUCAUUUUUUGUUAAUAUUUGUGAAUAUGAGCGUUGUUCCAUUUAUGAUAUUUGGGUCGAUGAAAGCGAGAGACUUGAGAGAGAACUUUGAGAACUUCCUUACUCGAAAUAUGUUAUAUAUUGCCACAAACCUGUUUAAUAAAUGCUCAACUUAACUAAAUUUUAUGUUCCAGGAAUUUGGGUUCUAAUGGUCUCAAUGAAAUCAAAGCUGAAACAUUCCAAAACCUGUCCAGUUUAACAUAUCUGGAUUUGAGUAAUAAUGGUCUCGAUGAAAUCAAAGCAGAAACCUUCCAAUAUUUGUCCAGCUUAACAACUCUGGAUUUGCAGAAAAACAAUAUCAAAAAUAUCACAGAAGGAGCCUUCCAAUAUUUGUCCAGUUUAACAAGUCUGAAUUUGUAUGGUAAUAAUAUCAAAGUAGUCAAACCAGCAGACUUCCAAAGUUUGUCCAAGUUAACAAGACUGUAAGUUAGAUUAGUCUUCUUUAUAGUAUUUCAUAAACUAUAUAUUUCUAAAUCUGUAAUAUCUCCCAUCUCUAUUUUU